Molecule: non-coding RNA, 46 nt
Filed under: Schistosoma haematobium
Lineage: Eukaryota; Metazoa; Platyhelminthes; Trematoda; Strigeidida; Schistosomatidae
Source: RNAcentral
UCAUUGCUGAAGAGUCCCACAAUAGGACGAAACGGCCGUCCAGUGC